RNAcentral lists this long non-coding RNA (1525 nucleotides) under Coturnix japonica (Japanese quail). Its description in RNAcentral is "lncRNA (ENSCJPG00005015969.1)". The record is from RNAcentral. Lineage: Eukaryota; Metazoa; Chordata; Aves; Galliformes; Phasianidae.
GCUAGAAAGACCAAUUCCCAGAAACAUUUUGUUAUGUGAAUAACUAUGCUAUUCAUAAGUUAAAAGGCCAGAGAUGUGUAUUAUGUAUGCUGAUAUUUAGUUGCCUUGAGGGAGCUGGAAAACAUUAAUGCAUCAAUGUGGUCAAACUGUAAGUACAGCUACAACUAUAUAUUUACUAACAUUUUGCCCAAAUGAACACUUGCCAUGAAGAGUUCUAUCAUUUAUAGUUCUAACAUUAGCAGAUCUUUAUAUAAGAACCCUCUUUAGAAUCUUGUAGUGAAUCUGGUUAUUUCUCUGGUUGCUAAGUUUUCUUCUUGUUGUUCAAAUAUUUAGAGGUUGCUAUUUUGUUCGGCUGUCUUAGCCAAGCUUAGACAUGCUUUAGUAUGUGUGAUUUUAAAAAAAUAAUUCCUUGCAUGUUCUUAACAUUUUCAGUGCUUCUUUUAGAAUGCUUUGCAUGUGUUGGUGAUGAGAUACCCAGAUCUGCACGCAGCAUUUCAAGGCUGAGUUGAGGGAACGAAAUUGCUCAGAUGCCUGAGGCGACAGACUGAGUUAACUUGAACAUUUUGAUUAUUCAAAUGAGAAUUAUCCAAAUGACCCAGAUUUCUUCCUUACUGCAUCAUGACAAAUUGCUAGACAAUGACACCUCUACUGUCUGCAUUUCUGUGGGCAGACACAUUUGGAUAGCCAUACAGGGGAUCUGGAUCACCCUUCCUAAUGUUUUCUUCAGUGUCAAGUCUAAACUACAACACAUUAAUAGGCUCCUUCAGCUAGGUGCAAGGUUGAAGCCUUGAUGAACUGUGAUCACAAAAAUCUGCACAUUGCCCCUUCCCCGGGGUGAGAAGCAGCUCUCUAUAUUCCGGCCCAGCACCAAUCAAAUUCUAGCCUGAAUCCUUGGAAUUGCCUGUAGGUUUAGCCAUGCAUAAAUAUAUUUUUCAUUUCCUUGGUUUAAAAUGGUUAUUGGUAUAAAAUGGCUGUGCAGUUCUGACCUGAGAUAGCUGCACACCACUGGGAAGGAAAGUGAUAUCUGCUGAGGUCCCUGGGCUUGUAAAUAGCUGUUGUUAUUAGGAAUUGUACAGAUCUUUCAUUCCCUCCUGCAGACAUCCAGUUUCAGCCUAACCCAAGUGUUACAAAAAUCCUACAGAUACAGGCAUUAUAGAAAAAGUAAAUUCAGAGCAGAUGUUCAGAAGUACCUCCAAUCAAGAUUCACAGAAUGUUGAUUAAAGCAGGAUAUGAUAAACACAGAAAAAGAAGUACAAAAGCACAGAUGAAGAUGAGAUGUGGAAAGUAACCUGCUGCAAGCUAAGGACGUAAGGCAUAGCUGGUUCCUUUUCUAAGCUCUCAUCCUUGCAAUGCGUACAGGAGGUGAGAAGUUUUGGCACUCCUCUAUACUUCAUAAUUUGAACUAAUGUAUUUGUUAUUUGUUUAAAUGAUGAAAUGUUAGCAACAGUGAUUCUCCACAGGUGUAAGGAAAAUACUUCUGUUCCUUCUUAUAGGUCAGUCUUCAUCUGAAAUCAUUGAGUACAGG